Molecule: long non-coding RNA, 541 nt
Organism: Rhipicephalus sanguineus (brown dog tick)
Lineage: Eukaryota; Metazoa; Arthropoda; Arachnida; Ixodida; Ixodidae
Exons: 3
Source: RefSeq, a predicted model, not a curated record
CCGGACAAAUCGGUGCACGUCUUCUGGUAGCGAAGCAGAAGAGCAAGAAGAGGAAUGCGAUGAAGAUGACGAAAUAGGUGCCGAAAAGUAGUCGAAAACGUUGAGGCCCUUAUCACGCAUGAUAAGGCUCAACUUUUGUCUGACGUCACACACUGCAGCGAUGCACCUAGUAGGCGUAUUUUACGAGCGAAAGUCCCCUGAUACGUUUGCUUCCCCGCAAUAGAUGUCCAAAAGCAGUCGAAAAAGUUGAGGCCCUUAUCACCCAUGAUAAGGCUCAACUUUUGUCUGACGUCACACACUGCAGUGAUGCACCUAGUAGGCGCGUAUUUUACGAGCGAAAGGUCCCCUGAUACGUUUGCUUCCCCGCAAUAGAUGUCCAAAAGCAGUCGAAAAAGUUGAGGCCCUUAUCACCCAUGAUAAGGCUCAACUUUUGUCUGACGUCACAUACUGCAGUGAUGCACCUAGUAGGCGUAUUUUACGAGCGAAACGUCCCCUCAUACGUUUGCUUCCCCGCAAUAGAUGUCCAAAAGCAGUCGAAAAA